AACGUAGGAGCCAAGCGUUAUCCGAAUUCACUGGGUGUAAAGCGCGUGCAGGCGGCCUGGUAAGUUGGAUGUAAAAUCUCCUGGCUCAACUGGGAGGGGACGUACAAGACUGCCAGGCUCGAGGACGGUAGAGGGAGGUGGAAUUCCCGGUGUAGUGGUGAAAUGCGUAGAUAUCGGGAGGAACACCAGUGGCGAAAGCGGCCUCCUGGACCGGACCUGACGCUCAGAUGCGAAAGCUAGGGGAGCAAACGGG
Molecule: ribosomal RNA, 253 nt
Filed under: uncultured bacterium
Lineage: Bacteria
Description: partial 16S ribosomal RNA
Rfam family: Bacterial small subunit ribosomal RNA
Source: RNAcentral